This is a long non-coding RNA of Carassius gibelio (silver crucian carp), 1689 nucleotides long. RefSeq lists it as uncharacterized. The record is from RefSeq and is a predicted model, not a curated record. Lineage: Eukaryota; Metazoa; Chordata; Actinopteri; Cypriniformes; Cyprinidae. The transcript is spliced from 2 exons.
UAUAUAUAUAUAUAUGUUUGGUUUUUAUUCCACAGGUAUCAAUGGUGAUGAAUUCUGGUUAGAUCAGUCACCUGCUGCGAUAAAGAGACCUAGAGAAACAGUGAAAAUCUCCUUUAAAACAUCAGGUUUUACAAUGACAGACUACUGGAUGCAAUGGAUUUGAGAGACACCAGGGAAAGCUCUGGAGUGGAUUGGGGGAGUUAACUCUGGCAUAAGUUCUUGCUCUGAUUAUUUUAUUUAUGCAGACACCAUGAAAAAAUCAAUUCACUAUGAGUGAGGACGUGUCUCAAAGUACACAGUAUCUUGAAGCCAAGAGUCUGAGAGAAGAGGACACUGCUGUUUAUUACUGUGCUCAACGGACAUCUGAUGAAGCAGCUCUACAACAACUCAGAACAACUACAGUGAAAAAAGACCAAGCUGGUGGUUAUUAAGCCUCUUAUUAAGAAACUAAAAUAGAUAAUUGGCAAAUUACAGGCCCAUUUCAAGUCUUCCAUUAAUGUCUAAAAUUUUUUAAAAAGUUGUUUCUGCUCAAUUGUGCUCCUUCCUGCAAAAAAAAAGAUCUGUAUGAAGAAUUCCACCAUAGCACAGAAACUGCACAUGUUAAAAUUACAAAUGACCUGCUACUUGCGUCAGAUUAAGGCUGCAUCUCAUUUCUAGUUUUACUUGAUCUUAGUGCUGCAAUCACCACCAUAGAUCAUGACAUACUCAUAGAUCGAUUACAAACCUAUACAGGUAUUCAAGGGCAGGCUCUAACACAGAAACAACAACCAUAAACAUCUAACACAAACUGUUAGCAAUAUACAGUACAUAUAGAUUUCUAAUUUUUGAGACACUGUGGUUGUUGUUCAUUCAACUAGAAAAUAAUUAAAACUUAAAAAAAGGUUCUUCCUACUACAACUAUAAAAAAAACAUUCAUUUAAGUCUUUAAACAUGCAAAUGAUUUCGUAGGAAGGAUCAGUGCCACUCAGACUCUCAAAGGACUGUGUUAUAAAGUCAGUCCUCAGUCAGUGUCUAGCUGCAGUGUCUUUUUAUUUUAUUCAUUUGACAGUUUAAGAUUGAUAAUGGAAAUUAUAUUGUUUGGAGUUUUUCUUCAAGUGAUUAUUUCAACUGUUAGUGGUCAGUCUUUGACCUCCUCAGAGAAUGCUUUGAAAAAUCCUGGAAGAACAGUGAUUCUGUCCUGCACUGUGUCUGGAAUCUCAAUGAGCAGUCACUGGAUGCACUGGAUCCGCCAGCAACCAGGGAAAGGACUGGAGUGGAUUGGAUGUAUAGAUACUGGCUCAAGUGUAUAUUAUGCUCAGUCUCUAAAGGGCAGGUUAUCCAUCACCAAAGACACCAGCAAAAACAUGCUGUAUUUAAAAGUGAUUGACCUGAAGACUGAAGACACAGCUGUUUAUUACUGUGCACGAGACUCACAGUCACACAAAAGACUACAGGACAGAACAAAAACUAUUGAAUGUUAUCACUGAAGCAAUAGCAAGCUCCCGCAGAUUUUUUAGGGUGUUGUUUGAAACAUUUAAAUACUUUCUCAUAAACAGUUUUUCAAAUAAAUAAGUGGAAAGGUCUGGAAUGAUUAAGGUACAUCAUAAUGAUCAUAGAUCCAAUGCCUGGAGGGUUGAUCAAUGAGCAAAAUACAUAAUCUGUACAGUUGCCAUGCAUAAGCAUCUGCUAAAUAAAUCUGAAAAUAAUUUG